GUCCACGCCUUAAACUAUGGAUACUAAGUGUCGGCGGUUUACCGCCGGUGCCGCAGCUAACGCAAUAAGUAUCCCGCCUGGGAAGUACGGCCGCAAUGUUGAAACUCAAAGGAAUUGACGGGGCCCGCACAAGCGGUGGAGCAUGUGGUUUAAUUCGACGCAACGCGAAGAACCUUACCCAGGCUGGACAUGCAGGUAGUAGAAAGGUGAAAGCCUAACGAGGUAGAAAUACCAUCCUGCUCAGGUGCUGCAUGGCUGUCGU
This 262-nucleotide ribosomal RNA is filed under the name uncultured bacterium. RNAcentral's name for it is "partial 16S ribosomal RNA". It matches the Rfam family "Bacterial small subunit ribosomal RNA", at positions 793 to 1055 of the family's 1533-position model. The record is from RNAcentral.